RNAcentral lists this ribosomal RNA (253 nucleotides) under uncultured bacterium. RNAcentral's name for it is "partial 16S ribosomal RNA". It matches the Rfam family "Bacterial small subunit ribosomal RNA", at positions 524 to 776 of the family's 1533-position model. The record is from RNAcentral.
UACGUAGGGUGCAAGCGUUGUCCGGAAUUAUUGGGCGUAAAGAGCUUGUAGGCGGUUUGUCGCGUCUGCUGUGAAAUUUCGGGGCUCAACCCCGAACUUGCAGUGGGUACGGGCAGGCUAGAGUGUGGUAGGGGAGACUGGAAUUCCUGGUGUAGCGGUGAAAUGCGCAGAUAUCAGGAGGAACACCGAUGGCGAAGGCAGGUCUCUGAGCCACUACUGACGCUGAGAAGCGAAAGCAUGGGGAGCGAACAGG